RNAcentral lists this ribosomal RNA (433 nucleotides) under uncultured bacterium. RNAcentral's name for it is "partial 16S ribosomal RNA". It matches the Rfam family "Bacterial small subunit ribosomal RNA", at positions 29 to 507 of the family's 1533-position model. The record is from RNAcentral.
AACGAACGCUGGCGGCAGGCCUAACACAUGCAAGUCGAGCGGACCCUUCGGGGUUAGCGGCGGACGGGUGAGUAACGCGUGGGAAUAUGCCCUUCUCUACGGAAUAGUCCUGGGAAACUGGGGGUAAUACCGUAUACGCCCUUUGGGGGAAAGAUUUAUCGGGGAAGGAUUAGCCCGCGUUGGAUUAGGUAGUUGGUGGGGUAAUGGCCUACCAAGCCGACGAUCCAUAGCUGGUUUGAGAGGAUGAUCAGCCACACUGGGACUGAGACACGGCCCAGACUCCUACGGGAGGCAGCAGUGGGGAAUCUUAGACAAUGGGGGCAACCCUGAUCUAGCCAUGCCGCGUGAGUGAUGAAGGCCUUAGGGUUGUAAAGCUCUUUCAGCUGGGAAGAUAAUGACGGUACCAGCAGAAGAAGCCCCGGCUAACUCUGUG